AAAAUAGUCAAAUUACUUAACUAAGAUAGUACUAAUAGAAACAAAAAUGGAUGAAAUGUAAAGCGUUACCAAAAGAUCAAAGUCAAAAAGGCCUCUGCCCUCAAACUCAAUAAAAGGAUUUGACAGUUUAGCACCAUAAAAAAGAUGUAUAUAUAGUACUUAACUAACCAAAACACCAACCAAAAAUAGUUUUCUUCUAGAAGAG
RNAcentral lists this unclassified non-coding RNA (205 nucleotides) under Hevea brasiliensis (rubber tree). The record is from RNAcentral. Lineage: Eukaryota; Viridiplantae; Streptophyta; Magnoliopsida; Malpighiales; Euphorbiaceae.